RNAcentral lists this ribosomal RNA (253 nucleotides) under uncultured bacterium. Its description in RNAcentral is "partial 16S ribosomal RNA". It matches the Rfam family "Bacterial small subunit ribosomal RNA", at positions 524 to 776 of the family's 1533-position model. The record is from RNAcentral.
UACGGAGGGUGCAAGCGUUAAUCGGAAUUACUGGGCGUAAAGCGCACGUAGGCGGCUUUCUAAGUCGGGGGUGAAAUCCUGGAGCUCAACUCCAGAACUGCCUUCGAUACUGGAAAGCUCGAGUCCGGGAGAGGUGAGUGGAACUGCGAGUGUAGAGGUGAAAUUCGUAGAUAUUCGCAAGAACACCAGUGGCGAAGGCGGCUCACUGGCCCGGUACUGACGCUGAGGUGCGAAAGCGUGGGGAGCAAACAGG